Molecule: long non-coding RNA, 978 nt
Organism: Lepidothrix coronata (blue-crowned manakin)
Lineage: Eukaryota; Metazoa; Chordata; Aves; Passeriformes; Pipridae
Exons: 6
Source: RefSeq, a predicted model, not a curated record
CUUCUAUCGCACACAGUGCCACCCCUUUGCCUUUUCUGCCCUGCCCAUCCCUCCUGAAGAGCCUGUAACCAUCCAACAAGGCACUCCAGUCAAAGGACUCAUCCCACCAGACUAUAUCUAGUCUCUCUUCUAAAACUCCACCUGGCUCUGUGGACUACUACCUCCUCCUCACACAUGUUCUGAGUGAAACUUUGUAAGGAGACCAGACCAGCACAGUCCCAAAUCCAAGUCAUAAUGCUUUUUAAUUCAGGAUUUUGAAGUGACUCCCUUUUUUUCAUAUUAUCCCCUUCAUAUGAAAGAUCAGAAGAAUUGAACUGCACCACAGCUGAGCAACAUCUUCAAAACUUCAAGUGAAAGAAACAAGAAUGUCCUUAACUCUAAUCUUGUAAGGAACUCACUAAGAACAAACUGCAAGGCCAAUAUUUUAUGAUACAGUGUGUAUUAGGAAACAAGAUGAAGCAGCUUUGGUUUCCAGUGAAAUGGAAGGAUAGCAGCAGGUCUACAGGAAGAAUUCAAGAUGCUUGCCAUAAUCCAUCUACCACAUACAGCAAACCAGGAUUUUUUCCAGGUUUAUUCAGAGCUAAUGGAAGUCUGCAACAUACAGUGAAACCUUUGUCUUGAACACCCCAUGGUGAUUUUAAUGGAGGAACAGUUGUUCACAAAGAAUCUCAAAUAACACCACGAAGCAGCGUGUUGCCAGCCGUUUGGAUGGACUAUCCUAUGGAAUACCAUUGUGGGCCAAGGAACUACCCUUUUCUCCCCUUACUCAGCUCUCUGUGGAACAAGAUACAGGCAGAGGCUGAGAAAAAAACCCCAGGGCCUAUCCACGACUUUACUUGUCUGCUACGAAAUGUGCAACCAGCUUCCUGGAUCUUGAGAUGUGCGGAAUGGAGUCCCCCAAGCUGUUUCAGGGAAGGCACCUAAAGCCAGGACUAACACCUCACCUCGCUCUGUACAUAGAGCCUCAAAUUUCCUUCC